AGGUGUUAUAGGGCCAGGUGUUAUAGGAGUAGAUGUUAUAGGAGUAGGGUGUUAUAGGAGUAGGGUGUUAUAGGAGUAGGGUGUUAUAGGAGUAGGUGUUAUAGGAGUAGGGUGUUAUAGGAGUAGGUGUUAUAGGAGUAGGGUGUUCUAGGGCCAGGUGUUAUAGGAGUAGGGUGUUAUAGGAGUAGGGUGUUAUAGGGCCAGGUAUUAUAGGAGUAGGGUGUUCUAGGGCCAGGUGUUAUAGGAGUAGAUGUUAUAGGAGUAGGGUGAUAUAGGAGUAGGGUGUUAUAGGAGUAGGGUGUUAUAGGAGUAGGGUGUUAUAGGAGUAGGUGUUAUAGGAGUAGGGUGUUAUAGGAGUAGGGUGUUAUAGGAGUAGGGUGUUAUAGGAGUAGGGUGUUAUAGGAGUAGGUGUUAUAGGAGUAGGUGUUAUAGGAGUAGGGUGUUAUAGGAGUAGGUGUUAUAGGAGUAGGGUGUUAUAGGAGUAGGGUGUUAUAGGAGUAGGUGUUAUAGGAGUAGGGUGUUAUAGGGCCACGUGUUAUAGGAAUACAUUUUACAGCAUUAGAUAUACAUUUAUGGACUGAGUUCAAAAAUUAUUUUUUAAAUCUUUGGACAUUUUUUAGGAGCUGAAUGAAAGUACAUGAUGGAGAUGUAUUCGAACAUGUGUCUGUGUAUCGAUCUGACAUAUAAUUCAGAUAUAUCGGAUAUAUCGAUAUAAUUCAGUCUAUUUGUCAUCACCAUCUUUUGUAUUGUAGUAUUUGGUGUAAUUUCCCUCCUAUGUCCCUUUAGUUUUGUAUGCUGGAGAUGUGAAAGGAAUGUGUUAAGUAUUUUUUUUUUUUGCGGGCAUAUGGCACAACUAUUACAGUCUAGUUAGAGUUUGUGCACAUAAGAUUCAGAGACACUUAUAAACAGGGUCUAUAUGAAUCAACAACAUGGUGUCACGUCACGAUAGAAAGACACACACAUAGUAUAAACACACAGUACAAGUAGUAGUACACAGACAUCAUUUCAAUGGCUUCAUCAUAUUUCUCCUUGUCUUUUCUUUGCGUAUACACUUGUAUACAUGUUAGGAUACAGUUGGUGAGAAGGGUUUAGACACAUAGGUAGACACAUAGGUAGACACAUAGGUAGACACAUAGGUAGACACAUAGAUAGAUCGCUUAACAAAAUUAUGUUUUUUUCUUUUCAGAAAACAAACGUUAUCAUUUUUUUUGCAGUUGAAACAAUAUGGCUUUAACUAGUGAAAACCCUAUCAGACUUUUUUUUUUUUUUUAAGUUAAGAAUAAUUUACUCAUAACUUAUGAUUAUUGAAAUGUUUUUGUUCAUUUUUUGGAAUAUAUCAAUCUUCAAUGUCAUGUAGCCAUGUACGUUAUUAGAAAGAUAUGAGAAUUUCUUACAAUAAAACUUCACAGGAUUUGGUCUUUGGAAAGUGAAAAUGUAUGUUGCCAGCCUAUUUCUACUGCUAUCAACAAGACCAAAUCUGGACCACUUCCUUAGUUCUGGACCACUUCCUUACUUCUGGACCACUUCCUUACUUCUGGACCACUUCCUUACUUCUGGACCACUCCCUUACUUCUGGACCACUCCCUUACUUCUGGACCACUCCCUUACUUCUGGACCACUUCCUUACUUCUGGACCACUUCCUUACUUCUGGACCACUUCCUUACUUCUGGACCACUUCCUUACUUCUGGACCACUUCCUUAGUUCUGGACAGUUUCCUUAUUUACUAGUGACAAAAGAAAUUAUCGUUUUUUUCCCCCAGUAUCUUUGGAUUUGAUAUUAAUGAAUUCAAACAGUAAUUAGUUAAGCAUGUACUUUGUGUAAAACAGACAUGUGGUAUGGGAGGUGAGUAGUGAAAUAAUGACAUAGGCAGUAUUGGCUUCCUUCAAUGUAAUGCAGUUCUGAUUAUUUCCUUGUCUUUGGCAUUAACCACCAACUGCUAAAUAUGAUGUUGACUAAAUAAUUUUUAUAGAACUGUGCUUGUUUUUCUUCUUCUCUACACUGAAUAUGAAUCGUGUGUAUUCUAUGGAUAAUCUGAGUGUAUAAUGUUGAAUAUGAAUCGUGUGUACAGUAUUCUAUGGAUAAUCUGAGUGUAUAAUGUUGAAUAUGAAUCGUGUGUAUUCUAUGGAUAAUCUGAGUGUAUAAUGUUGAAUAUGAAUCGUGUGUACAGUAUUCUAUGGAUAAUCUGAGUGUAUAAUGUUGAAUAUGAAUCGUGUGUACAGUAUUCUAUGGAUAAUCUGAGUGUAUAAUGUUGAAUAUGAAUCGUGUGUACAGUAUUCUAUGGAUAAUCUGAGUGUAUAAUGUUGAAUAUGAAUCGUGUGUAUUCUAUGGAUAAUCUGAGUGUAUAAUGUUGAAUAUGAAUCGUGUGUACAGUAUUCUAUGGAUAAUCUGAGUGUAUAAUGUUGAAUAUGAAUC
This is a long non-coding RNA of Oncorhynchus tshawytscha (Chinook salmon), 2414 nucleotides long. Lineage: Eukaryota; Metazoa; Chordata; Actinopteri; Salmoniformes; Salmonidae. The record is from Ensembl.